Molecule: long non-coding RNA, 993 nt
Filed under: Anser cygnoides (Swan goose)
Lineage: Eukaryota; Metazoa; Chordata; Aves; Anseriformes; Anatidae
Description: lncRNA (ENSACDG00005015822.1)
Source: RNAcentral
AUGCAUUAUUUGAAGAGUCUAGCAUUGGUGACCACUUUCCCUUUUUUCAAAAAAAAAAACAAAAAAGGGAGCUGGGAAACACACCGCAUCUCUCUAACCUUUCCUGCUGCUCAAGCUGGAAUGUCCCCAAAGUCUCGGACCACGGGCGCUACACCACAUCCCCCAGCUAUAUCCUCUCCGGCUGUGCCACGGCAGCUGAAAGGCUCCAAGAAGGCCACGGAAAAAGGAAGCUCUGCACCACCCACCUUCAAGGAAGGCUAUCUCUUUGAGGCUCCCUGCCAGCUGACACGGGCCACCAACUGUGGACAAAGGGAGCUCUCGAACACCCACCACCUCCCUAACCUCCCAUUUUGUCCCAGGCAGCUGCACGGCCCCCACUGCUGUGGGGAAAGGACGCUCCACGCCACCCAGCCACUCUGCAAACGGCAACAACAGGACCAUGCCCAAAGCCCUGGACAAAGGGAGCCUCUCACAAGCCAGCUCUACAACCUGUCAGCGUCUUCCCGGGGAGCUGCAAAUCCACAUGGUGAGGACACAGAAACCAGGCCGACUCCCUCCCUCUUCUCAGAGGUUCCCUGUCUGGUGCAAGCUUCCCACACGCAUCAACAGAGGGGCCUCCGCAGCUUCAACCGCUUCUCUAACACAUCAUCUUCUUCCUUGAAGGCACACCAAGGGACUCCACGGACAUGGAAAAGAGGGGCUAUGCACCACCCAGCAUCUUGCCCACCUCUCAAGGUAGGCAGAGAGACCUUCAACUUGCCCAUAACUGUGUCUCACCCAGCCACGGGACCAACAAGACACCUCUCAAACUUGUCAUUCUCUUCCAGGCUACCGCAACGGCUCGACAGAAUUGGACAAAGAGAGCUGAGAAAAAAAUGCUUCUCUGGAACCCCUCCUGGUGUGAAAGAUGGCAGAUGGAAGGUCCCCACGGCUCAGGACAAAGGGCGCUCCACGCCACCCAGACACUCGGUAAUCACGCAUAAGCUCAGAUGA